CCAAUAGCGUAUAUUAAAGUUGUUGCAGUUAAAAAGCUCGUAGUUGAACCUCGGGAUCAAUGAAUCGGUCAUGCUUUUCGUAUGUACUGGUUUUAUUGGUUCUCACCUUCUAAGGAACCUUAAUGUCAUUCAUUUGAUGUUUUGGGGAAUUAGGACUGUUACCUUGAAAAAAUUAGAGUGUUUAAAGCAGGCUAACGCUUGAAUACAUUAGCAUGGAAUAAUGAAAUAGGACAUCGCAUUCUAUUUUGUUGGUUUCUAGGAUCGAUGUAAUGAUUAAUAGGGAUAGUUGGGGGCAUUAGUAUUCAAUUGUCAGAGGUGAAAUUCUUGGAUUUAUUGAAGACUAACUAUUGCGAAAGCAUUUGCCAAGGAUGUUUUCAUUAAUCAAGAACGAAAGUUAGGGGAUCGAAGACGAUCAGAUACCGUCGUAGUCUUAACCAUAAACUAUGCCGACUAGGGAUCGGAUGAUGUCGAUUUUUUAAUGACUCAUUCGGCACCUUACG
Molecule: ribosomal RNA, 500 nt
Filed under: uncultured Glomeromycotina
Lineage: Eukaryota; Fungi; Glomeromycota
Description: partial small subunit ribosomal RNA
Rfam family: Eukaryotic small subunit ribosomal RNA
Source: RNAcentral